RNAcentral lists this ribosomal RNA (669 nucleotides) under Arthrobacter sp. WN4-OCT-2016. Its description in RNAcentral is "bacterial SSU rRNA". It matches the Rfam family "Bacterial small subunit ribosomal RNA", at positions 817 to 1482 of the family's 1533-position model. Lineage: Bacteria; Bacillati; Actinomycetota; Actinomycetes; Micrococcales; Micrococcaceae. The record is from RNAcentral.
UAGGUGUGGGGGACAUUCCACGUUUUCCGCGCCGUAGCUAACGCAUUAAGUGCCCCGCCUGGGGAGUACGGCCGCAAGGCUAAAACUCAAAGGAAUUGACGGGGGCCCGCACAAGCGGCGGAGCAUGCGGAUUAAUUCGAUGCAACGCGAAGAACCUUACCAAGGCUUGACAUGAACCGGAAAGACCUGGAAACAGGUGCCCCGCUUGCGGUCGGUUUACAGGUGGUGCAUGGUUGUCGUCAGCUCGUGUCGUGAGAUGUUGGGUUAAGUCCCGCAACGAGCGCAACCCUCGUUCUAUGUUGCCAGCGCGUGAUGGCGGGGACUCAUAGGAGACUGCCGGGGUCAACUCGGAGGAAGGUGGGGACGACGUCAAAUCAUCAUGCCCCUUAUGUCUUGGGCUUCACGCAUGCUACAAUGGCCGGUACAAAGGGUUGCGAUACUGUGAGGUGGAGCUAAUCCCAAAAAGCCGGUCUCAGUUCGGAUUGGGGUCUGCAACUCGACCCCAUGAAGUCGGAGUCGCUAGUAAUCGCAGAUCAGCAACGCUGCGGUGAAUACGUUCCCGGGCCUUGUACACACCGCCCGUCAAGUCACGAAAGUUGGUAACACCCGAAGCCGGUGGCCUAACCCUUGUGGGGGGAGCCGUCGAAGGUGGGACCGGCGAUUGGGACU